GUCUACAGCCAUAUCACCCUGAACGCACCCGAUCUUGUCUGAUCUCGGAAGCUAAGCAGGGUCGGGCCUGAGUAGUACUUGGAUGGGAGAAAAUGCUGGGCUCUCUGAGUAAAUAGGGCUUGGCCU
This 126-nucleotide ribosomal RNA is filed under the name Microtus ochrogaster (prairie vole). The record is from RNAcentral. Lineage: Eukaryota; Metazoa; Chordata; Mammalia; Rodentia; Cricetidae.